RNAcentral lists this ribosomal RNA (498 nucleotides) under uncultured bacterium. RNAcentral's name for it is "partial 16S ribosomal RNA". It matches the Rfam family "Bacterial small subunit ribosomal RNA", at positions 28 to 507 of the family's 1533-position model. The record is from RNAcentral.
GACGAACGCUGGCGGCGUGCCUAAUACAUGCAAGUCGAACGAGAGCGACCGGUGCUUGCACUGGUCAAUCUAGUGGCGAACGGGUGAGUAACACGUGGGUAACCUGCUCAUCAGAGGGGGAUAACAUCCGGAAACGGAUGCUAAAACCGCAUAGGUCUUCGAGCCGCAUGGCUUGAAGAGGAAAAGAGGCGCAAGCUUCUGCUGAUGGAUGGACCCGCGGUGCAUUAGCUAGUUGGUGAGGUAACGGCUCACCAAGGCCGUGAUGCAUAGCCGACCUGAGAGGGUGAUCGGCCACAUUGGGACUGAGACACGGCCCAAACUCCUACGGGAGGCAGCAGUAGAGAAUCUUCCGCAAUGGACGCAAGUCUGACGGAGCAACGCCGCGUGAGUGAAGAAGGUUUUCGGAUCGUAAAACUCUGUUGUUAGAGAAGAACAAGUGCUAGAGUAACUGUUAGCGCCUUGACGGUAUCUAACCAGAAAGCCACGGCUAACUACGUG